Molecule: ribosomal RNA, 122 nt
Filed under: Staphylococcus aureus
Lineage: Bacteria; Bacillati; Bacillota; Bacilli; Caryophanales; Staphylococcaceae
Source: RNAcentral
UAUGUCUGGUGACUAUAGCAAGGAGGUCACACCUGUUCUCAUGCCGAACACAGAAGUUAAGCUCCUUAGCGUCGAUGGUAGUCGAACUUACGUUCCGCUAGAGUAGAACGUUGCCAGGCAGU